CCAGAGUCACCUGCUUCAAGCUGUGUAUCCAUAAAGUCUAAAGUCUAAAGAGUCUAAAAGUGAAACACUUGAAUUCAACAGCAUCUCACACCAAAUUGAAAUAAUGGACCAACAGAGACAAGAAUCAUUUUAUCGCUUCUCAGAUGAUGAUAAAAUCGAAAUGAAGCAGGAAAGGCCAGAUUCUCAUCUACCAAGAUGUUUGUCCACAAGACUCUCCAAAUAUCAGCCAUUGGAUUUUAAGGAUGGAGGACCCUCUGAAAAUAAAUUCCAAAUGGAUAAGAAGAGACUAGAACCAUCUCAACCACUGUCGGUGUCCAUGACUACAGAACAAUCAGAAGAUGAACCAGAUGAAAUCGAGGAAAAAUGCCCUUCUGUUCA
Molecule: long non-coding RNA, 378 nt
Organism: Cyprinodon tularosa
Lineage: Eukaryota; Metazoa; Chordata; Actinopteri; Cyprinodontiformes; Cyprinodontidae
Exons: 4
Source: RefSeq, a predicted model, not a curated record